Lytechinus variegatus (green sea urchin) is the source of this 979-nucleotide long non-coding RNA. RefSeq lists it as uncharacterized. The record is from RefSeq and is a predicted model, not a curated record. Lineage: Eukaryota; Metazoa; Echinodermata; Echinoidea; Temnopleuroida; Toxopneustidae. The transcript has 2 exons.
UAAAUGCUAAAAUUAUAAAUAACCAGUUUGAAAAAAAAAAUCAUGUUCGUAAUCGUAUCAUCUUCGCGCGCGCGCGCCCUUGUUUACGAAUGGGGUCCGGUACGGUCGGGGCGAAGGUUGGGGAGCGCACGACCGGGGACCGUACACAGAGCUCUAUCCGCCCCGCUAGCGCUGCCUGCAUUCUGAAUGAAAACACGGCCGGCUGAUAGCACUUUGCAGCUCCAAGCCAUGCAACGUUGAUUCUUGCUGCGUGACGUGCGAUGCUGGGCAGCUCUAACGUUAGCUCCAAUUUCUUGCGCUGGAGUCAGCUGCAGAUUGAGGUUGAAUGAUGAUGUUGCAGGUGAUGUACAAAUAGAAUAAAUCUAAAAAUGAAGAAUCAUGUAUGGGAUUAUAUACUCCAACAAUCUAGAAUUUUAGAUCUUAAACUAAGUUGAAGAUAUAAUUAAAAUUAUGAAAUACAACUUAAUUUCUGAUAUUUCUACGCUCUUGUUAUUUUUGAACAAGAAUAACGAGAGCGUAGAAAUGUCAGAAAUGAAGUUUUAUCCCACGAAAGUAGAAAUCUUGGGGGUGAAAGUUUCAGGUUUUGGCGUCCUUGUGUAGGUGAAUCAGAACAGAAGGAACUUAGGAAGACCUGGCUUCAUUGAGAGUAAGCCUACGUUAGUAAAUGAUUUUUACUCUCUAGAAGCCUCUUGGCUACGAAGAUCUACAUUCUUUUUGCAUAGAUCGAUCGUCUGUCACUGCAGUCUGUUAUGAAUCUGUGUCACUGUCAGCUUUCGAUGAGACCCGACCCAGGCCCCUCGUCCAAUGUGAAAUUCACGUAAAAAAAAAAUGUAAAAUGUUGAUCUUUGGAAAGUUAACAAUCAUCACUGAUCAACUAUUUUGACAGUGUUUUGUUGAAUGUUUACAUUUUGUUCCAAAACCAACUGCAGAUCCACAAGGGCACAUUAAAAUAUGGCUGUAUUUUUGUCAUUGGGCAAGA